RNAcentral lists this ribosomal RNA (445 nucleotides) under uncultured bacterium. RNAcentral's name for it is "bacterial SSU rRNA". It matches the Rfam family "Bacterial small subunit ribosomal RNA", at positions 354 to 796 of the family's 1533-position model. The record is from RNAcentral.
GUGAGGAAUAUUGCGCAAUGGAGGCAACUCUGACCCAGCCAUGCCGCGUGCAGGAUGACGGCCCUCUGGGUUGUAAACUGCUUUUAUACGGGAAGAAAAAAUACUACGUGUAGUAUACUGACGGUACCGUAAGAAUAAGGAUCGGCUAACUCCGUGCCAGCAGCCGCGGUAAUACGGAGGAUCCAAGCGUUGUCCGGAUUUAUUGGGUUUAAAGGGUGCGUAGGCGGAUCUUUAAGUCAGUGGUGAAAGCCUGCAGCUUAACUGUAGAAUUGCCAUUGAAACUGAAGAUCUUGAAUGUGGUUAAAGUAGGCGGAAUGUAUCAUGUAGCGGUGAAAUGCUUAGAUAUGAUACAGAACACCGAUAGCGAAGGCAGCUUGCUGAACCAUUAUUGACGCUGAGGCACGAAAGCGUGGGGAGCGAACAGGAUUAGAAACCCGGGUAGUCC